UGCAGUCGAGCGGACAGAUGGGAGCUUGCUCCCUGAUGUUAGCGGCGGACGGGUGAGUAACACGUGGGUAACCUGCCUGUAAGACUGGGAUAACUCCGGGAAACCGGGGCUAAUACCGGAUGGUUGUUUGAACCGCAUGGUUCAAACAUAAAAGGUGGCUUCGGCUACCACUUACAGAUGGACCCGCGGCGCAUUAGCUAGUUGGUGAGGUAACGGCUCACCAAGGCAACGAUGCGUAGCCGACCUGAGAGGGUGAUCGGCCACACUGGGACUGAGACACGGCCCAGACUCCUACGGGAGGCAGCAGUAGGGAAUCUUCCGCAAUGGACGAAAGUCUGACGGAGCAACGCCGCGUGAGUGAUGAAGGUUUUCGGAUCGUAAAGCUCUGUUGUUAGGGAAGAACAAGUACCGUUCGAAUAGGGCGGUACCUUGACGGUACCUAACCAGAAAGCCACGGCUAACUACGUGCCAGCAGCCGCGGUAAUACGUAGGUGGCAAGCGUUGUCCGGAAUUAUUGGGCGUAAAGGGCUCGCAGGCGGUUUCUUAAGUCUGAUGUGAAAGCCCCCGGCUCAACCGGGGAGGGUCAUUGGAAACUGGGGAACUUGAGUGCAGAAGAGGAGAGUGGAAUUCCACGUGUAGCGGUGAAAUGCGUAGAGAUGUGGAGGAACACCAGUGGCGAAGGCGACUCUCUGGUCUGUAACUGACGCUGAGGAGCGAAAGCGUGGGGAGCGAACAGGAUUAGAUA
Molecule: ribosomal RNA, 745 nt
Filed under: Bacillus sp. 12-9
Lineage: Bacteria; Bacillati; Bacillota; Bacilli; Caryophanales; Bacillaceae
Description: bacterial SSU rRNA
Rfam family: Bacterial small subunit ribosomal RNA
Source: RNAcentral